CGCGUAGGCGGUCUUUUAAGUCAGGUGUGAAAGCCCGGGGCUCAACCCCGGAAGUGCACUUGAAACUAAGAGACUUGAGUAUGGGAGAGGGAAGUGGAAUUCCUGGUGUAGCGGUGAAAUGCGUAGAUAUCAGGAGGAACAUCGGUGGCGAAGGCGACUUCCUGGACCAAUACUGACGCUGAGGCGCGAAGGCGGUGGGGAGCAAACA
This 208-nucleotide ribosomal RNA is filed under the name uncultured bacterium. Its description in RNAcentral is "partial 16S ribosomal RNA". It matches the Rfam family "Bacterial small subunit ribosomal RNA", at positions 568 to 774 of the family's 1533-position model. The record is from RNAcentral.